AGAAUCAACGCUGGCGGCGUGCCUAACACAUGCAAGUCGAACGAGAAAGUGGAGCAAUCCAUGAGUAAAGUGGCGCACGGGUGAGUAACACGUGACUAACCUACCUUUUAGUGGGGGAUAACCUAGGGAAACCUGGGCUAAUACCGCAUAACACUUACGAGUCAAAGCAGCAAUGCGCUGAAAGAGGGGGUCGCGGCCGAUUAGCUAGUUGGCGGGGUAAUGGCCCACCAAGGCAGUGAUCGGUAUCCGGCCUGAGAGGGCGCACGGACACACUGGAACUGAAACACGGUCCAGACUCCUACGGGAGGCAGCAGUGGGGAAUUUUGCGCAAUGGGGGAAACCCUGACGCAGCAACGCCGCGUGGAGGAUGAAGUCCCUUGGGACGUAAACUCCUUUCGAUCGGGACGAUAAUGACGGUACCGGAAGAGACGCCCGGCUAACUCGUGCCAGCAGCCGC
RNAcentral lists this ribosomal RNA (457 nucleotides) under uncultured bacterium. RNAcentral's name for it is "SSU rRNA". It matches the Rfam family "Bacterial small subunit ribosomal RNA", at positions 26 to 518 of the family's 1533-position model. The record is from RNAcentral.